RNAcentral lists this ribosomal RNA (256 nucleotides) under uncultured bacterium. RNAcentral describes it as "partial 16S ribosomal RNA". It matches the Rfam family "Bacterial small subunit ribosomal RNA", at positions 99 to 353 of the family's 1533-position model. The record is from RNAcentral.
CGGACGGGUGAGUAACGCGUGGGUAACCUGCCUCACACUGGGGGACAACAGUUAGAAAUGACUGCUAAUGCCGCAUAAGCGCACAGGACCGCAUGGUCCGGUGUGAAAAACUCCGGUGGUGUGAGAUGGAUCCGCGUCUGAUUAGCCAGUUGGCGGGGUAACGGCCCACCAAAGCGACGAUCAGUAGCCGACCUGAGAGGGUGACCGGCCACAUUGGGACUGAGACACGGCCCAAACUCCUACGGGAGGCAGCAUG